This 900-nucleotide ribosomal RNA is filed under the name uncultured Actinomycetes bacterium. RNAcentral's name for it is "bacterial SSU rRNA". It matches the Rfam family "Bacterial small subunit ribosomal RNA", at positions 8 to 918 of the family's 1533-position model. Lineage: Bacteria; Bacillati; Actinomycetota; Actinomycetes. The record is from RNAcentral.
AGAGUUUGAUUAUGGCUCAGGACGAACGCUGGCGGCGUGCUUAACACAUGCAAGUCGAACGGUGAACCGGGCUUCGGCCUGGGGAUCAGUGGCGAACGGGUGCGUAACACGUGGGCAACCUGCCUCAGACACUGGGAUAACCCCGGGAAACCGGGGCUAAUACCGGAUACUCCGACCGGACUGCAUGAUCCGGCCGGGAAAGCUCCGACGGUCUGAGAUGGGCCCGCGGCCUAUCAGCUUGUUGGUGGGGUAACGGCCCACCAAGGCGACGACGGGUAACUGGUCUGAGAGGACGACCAGCCACACUGGAACUGAGACACGGUCCAGACUCCUACGGGAGGCAGCAGUGGGGAAUCUUGCGCAAUGGGCGAAAGCCUGACGCAGCGACGCCGCGUGGGGGAUGAAGGCCCUCGGGUUGUAAACCCCCUUCGGCAGGGACGAAGCGAACGUGACGGUACCUGCAGAAGAAGUCCCGGCUAACUACGUGCCAGCAGCCGCGGUAAGACGUAGGGGACGAGCGUUGUCCGGAUUCAUUGGGCGUAAAGAGCGCGUAGGCGGCUGCGCAAGUCGGAUGUGAAAAUCCGGGGCUCAACCCCGGACCUGCAUCCGAUACUGCGCGGCUAGAGGUAGGUAGGGGAGAUCGGAAUUCCUGGUGUAGCGGUGAAAUGCGCAGAUAUCAGGAGGAACACCGGUGGCGAAGGCGGAUCUCUGGGCCUUACCUGACGCUCAGGCGCGAAAGCUAGGGGAGCGAACAGGAUUAGAUACCCUGGUAGUCCUAGCCGUAAACGUUGGGUGCUAGGUGUGGGUGGACAUCGACCCCAUCCGUGCCGAAGCUAACGCAUUAAGCACCCCGCCUGGGGAGUACGGCCGCAAGGCUAAAACUCAAAUGAAUUGACGGGG